GUUUUUUUCUAAUUUUUAUUAUAUAAGUAUGUGUAUUUAUUGCAUCACUUUCAAUGUUUUAAACUUUCUAUCAACAAUAGCAUAUUUUAUAUAUCCUUUUCUAGUCAAUCUUGUUUUGAUGUAUAUUCAAGUUCUUUUAUGUACUGAUUUUUGUUUUUUUAUUUUAGUUGACUAACAGUUUAUUUUUUCAUCUGUUAAUUGACCUUUAAAUUAUUAUUUUUAUAAAGUUUUACCACCAAUGCUACCAUAAGCACUACUGAACGUGUCUCUUAAUGCACAUGUGUAAACAUUUCUCAAAGUCAUAGAUUUGAGAAUAAAGUAACUGUACUUUGAGAUAAGUUCUUUUGAUUUUUACUUGGAUUUAAGUUUAUUCAAAUAACUACUGGAUAACUACAUUUUUAUAACAAAUGCAAAAUUUGUAUGAUUUCUAGGAAAGAAUAAAUACCAUUACUUUGUCUCCCUCUGGCAUAAUUCUGUUGUCCAAUUAAAUUAAAAUUUAGGACAUUUCUUAUUAUUUUGAAAUUCUUAUGUUCAAUAAAUGUAAAUUAGUGAGAAUUCACUAGAAGAAAUAUAUGUGUUUGGCUUUCACUCGCUAUAGUUUUAUAUAUCUAUUUUACUACUUAGACUAUAUUAAUUGUCAUAAAUAUCAAAAUUA
RNAcentral lists this long non-coding RNA (655 nucleotides) under Marmota monax (woodchuck). The record is from RNAcentral. Lineage: Eukaryota; Metazoa; Chordata; Mammalia; Rodentia; Sciuridae.